UGUGAACACGUGCCGGCGUCGAGGAGAAUAAGAAGUGGGCAAGCGGUGGCCGGAGUUGUUGGGCGGAAAGAGCGGGGAGGCGUCCAGGCAGGUCCGUUGGGAAAACUGGAGGCUCAACUUCCAGACGUCGAUGGAAACCGCCCGGCUAGAGUCCGGAAGAGGAGAGUGGAAUUCCUGGUGUAGCGGUGAAAUGCGCAGAUAUCAGGAAGAACACCAAUGGCGAAGGCAGCUCUCUGGGACGGUACUGACGCUGAGACGCGAAAGCGUGGGGAGCGAACAGGAUUAGAUACCCGUGUAGUC
RNAcentral lists this ribosomal RNA (300 nucleotides) under uncultured Bacillus sp. Its description in RNAcentral is "bacterial SSU rRNA". The stretch from base 52 to 300 matches the Rfam family "Bacterial small subunit ribosomal RNA", at positions 547 to 795 of the family's 1533-position model. The record is from RNAcentral. Lineage: Bacteria; Bacillati; Bacillota; Bacilli; Caryophanales; Bacillaceae.